CAGCACAGCACAGCACACUCCCCUUGUUCUAGUGACCUUCUCCUUUUCCUUUCCAUCACUUUCAGUCAAACAAAACCUUUUUCUUAUCCAAUUUCAAAAAUCUAGAAGUACCCAUCUUUGGAAACAAUUCAAACGUGUCAGUUUCUGACAAAUUUCAAUUUUGUUGCUAACCCAAAAAACUAAAUGUCCCACUUUCAAUUCCUUAACCAUCGUCCAUACCGCGGGAAAACACUUAGCUGUCUUCUUCUCAUUGACAGAACACUCUACAACUUCACCAUGCCUCUUUCCUUCAAACACAUCAUCAUUUUCACUCUUUAUAUAUACAAUUUUCAAN
RNAcentral lists this long non-coding RNA (334 nucleotides) under Cicer arietinum (chickpea). Its description in RNAcentral is "long non-coding RNA (CARI_LNC001051)". The record is from RNAcentral. Lineage: Eukaryota; Viridiplantae; Streptophyta; Magnoliopsida; Fabales; Fabaceae.